CCUACGGGAGGCAGCAGUGAGGAAUAUUGGUCAAUGCGCGAGAGCCUGAACCAGCCAAGUCGCGUGAGGGAGUACUGCCCUAUGGGUUGUAAACCUCUUUUGUCGGGGAGCAAAAGCAGGACGUUUCCGGCUGUGAGAGUACCCGAAGAAAAAGCAUCGGCUAACUCCGUCCCAGCAGCCGCGGUAAUACGGAGGAUGCGAGCGUUUUCCGGAUUUAUUGGGUUUAAAGGGUGCGCAGGCGGAUUGUUAGGUCAUAGGUAAAAUCGUGAGGCUAAAUCCCAUCAAGCCAGUGAUACUGGGGAUCUAGAGUGUGAGAGAGGUAUGCGGAAUGCGUGGUGUAGCGGUGAAAUGCAUAGAUAUCACGCAGAACCCCGAUUGCGAAGGCAGCAUACUGGUGCACAACUGACGCUGAGGCGCGAAAGCGUGGGUAGCGAACAGGAUUAGAUACCCGAGUAGUC
RNAcentral lists this ribosomal RNA (458 nucleotides) under uncultured bacterium. Its description in RNAcentral is "partial 16S ribosomal RNA". It matches the Rfam family "Bacterial small subunit ribosomal RNA", at positions 338 to 795 of the family's 1533-position model. The record is from RNAcentral.